Molecule: long non-coding RNA, 537 nt
Filed under: Daphnia magna
Lineage: Eukaryota; Metazoa; Arthropoda; Branchiopoda; Diplostraca; Daphniidae
Description: uncharacterized LOC123470474, transcript variant X1
Source: RNAcentral
AAUUGCUCCUUUGGUCAACGUGACCCGUAUUACUUCAUUUGUCGAUCGACAGUUCGCGAGGUGACACACGAAAAUGCAAUCAGUCAUUUAUUUCCACUUGGCAUAGUCUACCUUCAUUGGAAGAAUAGAGCAACGAAAAGCAGCCAUACUGCCCCGACGAACUCGAGGAUUUUCCACGUUGACCUCGAAUGGCGUCCAAAUUACUUUUGGCACCAAAAAGUAAAUUUCCCGAGACUAGUCCUGCAUGGACGCGCACAGGAGUGGAGAGGAUGCGAACAAUGAAAUUGGCUGCCAAAAGCCUGUAGGGGGCAGCGUGAACGUCUGGUCGGAACUGCUCCGGCCGGAAGUUGACACUGCAGACGUAGAAGAUGAUUCGACUGUAUUCCACAUGCCUCUGCCUGUCGCGUUGCUGCCUAAACUUUGGUGAUAACUUUGCAACCGCCGCUGUUUCAAAGUUCAGUCUUCAACUUAUUGCUUCUAAUUGUAUUAUUGUCUAAAUAAUGCAGCCUAUUUAGAAUAGACGGCAGCACAAUCGGA